RNAcentral lists this long non-coding RNA (3286 nucleotides) under Bos grunniens (domestic yak). RNAcentral describes it as "lncRNA (ENSBGRG00000023624.1)". The record is from RNAcentral. Lineage: Eukaryota; Metazoa; Chordata; Mammalia; Artiodactyla; Bovidae.
UCCUCUGCGCAGUUCUUACAGGGCUGGCAUUAGGUCUAAAUGAUGUUGAGACCUGUUUGAACUGUAAAGGCCAAAACGGAUGCAACGCGAAUGCUCUUCAUGGUCACCAGGCAUUUGCUGGCUGCUGGGCAUCACACCAAGCUCCCUUCAUGCAUUAUCCCACUUAAUCCCCAAAACCCGUAACAGCUCCCAUUUUGUAGAUUAAGAAACUGAAAUGCAAAGACAAAUGGUUCGAAAGUGAGGAAGCCAGGAUUUAAACCCAGGCUGUCUGGUGAUGAGGACCAUGAGUCAAGUCCUACCCACAUGUUGGAUUAUCUCCAGGCUAUUAAACCGUCGUGGCUAUUCCGAUUUUUUUUUAAAAAGGUACAGAUCAUCAUGUAAAGUAGGCCAUCAGGGAAGCCCAUAGUAGACUACCAUUUGUGGUAUAUAUAAAGAGAGAAUCAAAAUAACCAAUCUGGUUAUUUUGGAUAUUUGCUUAUAUUCAUAAAAUUUUUUUAGGAGGGUAUCAAGAAACUCAAUGCAGUUAGUUGCAGCUGGGAAGAGCAACUACAGCAAGGGAGUUGGGGUGGAGAAGGCGCUUUCUGAACUUUUAAACAUGUGAAUGUAUUAGAAAUUUAUUCAGAAGCAAAAAAGGAACAAAGAUUUAUAUUAAUAAAAACCACCAGAGAAUUACGUGAACAACUUUACGCCCAUGGUUUUGAAAACAUGAACACUUUCCUGCAAACAUAUAACUCUGUAAAAAUGAUAUGGGAAGACACUGUCUAGACUUAGAACGGUUAAUGUUGUGCUUAUUUUAAAACCUGCACCCCAUCUCUUCCAAGACCUCCGGGGGGUACCGGGAGGGCAGGGCUUCUGUGUUUUUCUCACCACUGUCCACCUCAAGCCCAGCUCUGUCCCUGGUACGCUGUAGAUACAUGCUGCAUGAAGGCUGGACCUUUGGGCUAAGCCGAACCUUGGGACAGGUUGGGGGGAGCGCUAACGCAUCACUGGGCCACGCUCGGAACAGCCGCCAGGAGAAUCCAGCGCCGAGCGCGUCCAUCACCCGGAGCGCCCGCGAGAAGCCUUACGCAUGCGCACUGCUGCCCGAGGCCAGUCGGACGGUACGGCGCCUGCGCGAUUCGGGGCCGGGGGGAGGGGGGACGCGAACGGGGCCGAGCGGCCGGCGCCUGCGCAGCGGUGCUUAUGGGCGGGACUUGCGCUGCGCCUGCGCAGUCCUCGGCGGCCGUGGGGGGACGGACAAGAGGCGGGCCCGGGGGCGGGGGCGCCGUGAGGGAGGCUGGGCCGGGCCGGGCGGACGGCGCCGCGGGGUUGGCUGCCGCCCUGAGGCCGGACUCAACGGAUUCGGGCCGCGCCACCGGGCGAGCUCGCCGCCCGGCCCCAGCCCGCGGAGCCAGCGAGCGAGCGAGGCGGCGGCGGCGCGCGAUCACGUGUGCGCGCUCAGUCACGUCUGACUCUUCACGACCCAGUGGACUGUAGCCCGCCAGGCUCCUCUGUCCGUGGAAUUUUCCGGGCAAGAAUACUGGCACGGGUUGCCAUUUCCUACUCCAGGGGAUCUUCCCGACCCAGGGAUAGAACCCCUGUCGCCUACAUAGGCAAGAGGAUUCUUGACCACGAGCGCCGCCUGGGAAGCCCGUAUUUCAGAUGACUCAGGUGGUAAUACUGCUUUGGUUCAAAGUAAUUAUCAGGGUUGGGUUUCGUAAUGCAUUCAGACUUGGUGUAUAGCCAUACACAUUCAAAUCACGUGGCUCACUUACGCGUGGUUAUUACGCAGUAGAGGAAAGGCGACAAGGCGUUAGGCGAGUAAAUGCUCUUUGUGGCUUCGGGCAAGUCAGCUUUCCUUUCUGGGCGCCAUUUCCCCACGUGUAAAGGUGGCAUUUGGAAGUGGAGAUGGAAGGGCUCUGCUUGAGGUGUCGGCUUUAAUGUUCAGUGGCUCCUUGGCUACUUAGUCCUCUCCAGCCAGAGGUAGAACUGGGCCUUCUCACCAGUUCCAUGACACUGUGGUCCUUCAAGAUUGGAGAGGUGGGGUUGGAAAGCUGCGGUGAACAGACCGUGGUCAGGCCAUGAAACGAAGUGUUGAGUGGGCUUCAGUGUGUUAAAGAACAAGGACAGUAUAGAGAGUUCUUUGUAAAACUAAAUUUAUUCGGUUAAAAGGCUGUUCUUUCUAAAAAUGUCAUUUUCUGGGUGUUAAAGCAUCUUUUAUGGCAUGAUGGGGAUAGUAAACGGUGGUAUAUGGGAUUGUAAAUGGCAACUACCAGGUUCGUUUCCUUAUCACAAUAAGAUUUUUUUAGAAAAAAAGAGAACCUAGAAUCUAUUGUUUUGCUAUUGCAGUAAGGGAGUUUAGGAAAAAGUUCCUGGGGCUUUUGCUGCUAAGAAGAUUACUUUUGAAGAGUAAAUGUGAGUUUACUUUGUGGUUUGUCACAAUCCACAGGCAGGUAAGAAGGCUCUGUUACGUAUUAACGAUACUUCUAUUCUGAUCACCCUUUCUACCAGAUAUAAAAUGUCAGGAUAUUCGUGGGUGUGUGUGUGUGAGCCCUGGCAGGGGAAUUCCUCCGGUGGUUGGAAUUGUUCUAUUGAAUAGACUGGCUGCUGAGGUAAAGAACCCCUGUGGGGAUUCGCAGUCAGCUGGGAAAUCUUUCAGUACGGUGGCCCCAGUCUUUGGCUGUGAAGCACCGUGACCAUCAAGAAGGCAGGCUGUGCUGCUGGGAGACAUGGCCGGCGUCAUCCGUUUUAGAGUGCGUGUGUAACCGAUGGCCUUUGUGUCCAAGAAAUCUUAAGCAUUUUUAAAGAUUUAAAACUCUUAACAGAUUUAGAGUUAUCGUAAAUUUUUUUUGUACAUAUAAAACUGCAAUGUAUAAUGUGUAUCAGACAUGCAUUUUUAAGGUGUCUCAAAAUAUUAUAAUCUCUAAUUCCUGAAAUACUCAUUUUCUCCUUGGAGGACGGACUGCUCUCACUCACCUCUGAGUGCUCCAGUUUCGGAGGAGAACGCGGUAACUCUGUAACAGACAUUUGUCCACAGAAAAGAGGGCAGAUGUGUUUUUCCUGACCUUUCCUCACGUCCUCAUUGUCCUGGCUUUAUUUUUUUGGUUAAAUCCUGAGGUUUGCUCCUGCCUGUCUUUCUAAAAUGUUAAUCUGCUGAGUUACUGCCCCACCCCGGCACAAUUUAAAACCCUUCAAUGCCGCCCGCCCGCCGGUACUCACACAUCUCCUGCUGGAACGCUCUUCUUUCACCUCGUCCUGCAAACUCGGCUCAGAGUCCCUGCCUGCAGGGCCUCCCUGUCUCCAUGAG